AGUGAACGCUGGCGGUGUGCCUAAUACAUGCAAGUCGAGCGGCAGGACAGGAAGCUCGUGUCCCUGCUGUUGGCGACGGACGGGCGGGUAACGCAUGCAUCACCUUCCUCUAUGUCUGGGGGAACAACGGGGGACAACAUAUGCUAAUGGCUCAUACUUUGUACCGCAGAGAUCAAAAGAGCUAGACGGUCUUCGCGUCUCAAAUAGCUGAUUCCGCGUUGCAUUAGCUAGUUGGUAAGGUAACGGCUUACCAAGGCUACGAUGCAUAGCCGACCUGAGAGGGUGAUCGGCCACACUGGAACUGAGACACGGUCCAGACUCCUACGGGAGGCAGCAGUAGGGAAUCUUCGGCAAUGGGCGCAAGCCUGACCGAGCAACGCCGCGUGAGUGAUGAAGGCCUUCGGAUUGUAAAACUCUUUUAUUAGGAAAGAACAGAAGCGGAUGAAACUGUGGACAUUUUGACGGUACCUAAUGAGAAAGCCCCGGCUAACUUCGUG
RNAcentral lists this ribosomal RNA (497 nucleotides) under uncultured bacterium. RNAcentral's name for it is "partial 16S ribosomal RNA". It matches the Rfam family "Bacterial small subunit ribosomal RNA", at positions 29 to 507 of the family's 1533-position model. The record is from RNAcentral.